Molecule: ribosomal RNA, 208 nt
Filed under: uncultured bacterium
Lineage: Bacteria
Description: partial 16S ribosomal RNA
Rfam family: Bacterial small subunit ribosomal RNA
Source: RNAcentral
GAUGUAGGUGGCUUUGUAAGUCGGGUGUGAAAGCCCAGGGGCUCAACCCUGGAAGUGCAUUCGAUACUGCGAAGCUUGAGUGCUAGAGGGGUUACUAGAAUACCUGGUGUAGUGGUGAAAUACGUAGAUAUCAGGUGGAAUACCGGAGGCGAAGGCGGGUAACCAGCUAGACACUGACACUCAGAUCCGAAAGUGUGGGGAUCAAACA